CCUACGGGGGGCAGCAGUGGGGAAUAUUGGACAAUGGGGGGAACCCUGAUCCAGCCAUGCCGCGUGUGUGAAGAAGGCCCUCGGGUUGUAAAGCACUUUCAGUGAGGAAGAACGCCUGGUGGUUAAUACCCAUCAGGAAAGACAUCACUCACAGAAGAAGCACCGGCUAACUCCGUGCCAGCAGCCGCGGUAAUACGGAGGGUGCGAGCGUUAAUCGGAAUUACUGGGCGUAAAGCGCGCGUAGGUGGCUUGAUAAGCCGGUUGUGAAAGCCCCGGGCCCAACCUGGGAACGGCAUCCGGAACUGUCAAGCUAGAGUGCAGGAGAGGAAGGUAGAAUUCCCGGUGUAGCGGUGAAAUGCGUAGAGAUCGGGAGGAAUACCAGUGGCGAAGGCGGCCUUCUGGACUGACACUGACACUGAGGUGCGAAAGCGUGGGUAGCAAACAGGAUUAGAUACCCUAGUAGUC
RNAcentral lists this ribosomal RNA (465 nucleotides) under Vreelandella stevensii. RNAcentral's name for it is "partial 16S ribosomal RNA". It matches the Rfam family "Bacterial small subunit ribosomal RNA", at positions 338 to 795 of the family's 1533-position model. Lineage: Bacteria; Pseudomonadati; Pseudomonadota; Gammaproteobacteria; Oceanospirillales; Halomonadaceae. The record is from RNAcentral.